Molecule: ribosomal RNA, 575 nt
Filed under: Heliogomphus retroflexus
Lineage: Eukaryota; Metazoa; Arthropoda; Insecta; Odonata; Gomphidae
Description: partial 12S ribosomal RNA
Source: RNAcentral
GGGAAGUAAGUAUUAUUGGCUGAUAGUUAAUAUUUUAUUUUUAUUAAAAUUUGAAUUUUUGGGUGAAAUUUUAAUUUUUUAAUAUUUAUGUUUGAUGAAGCUAUGAAAUUUAUGUGAAAGACAAGGAUUAGAUACCCUUUUAUUAUAAAUGUAAAUUUUUGGUCAGGGUAGUAAUAGUUAUGUUCUUGAAACCCAAAGAAUUUGGCGGUAUUUUAGUCCUUUCAGAGGAAUCUGUCCCAUAAUCGACAUUCCACGAGAUAAUUUACUUAUUUUUGUUUUCAGUUUGUAUACCUCCGUCAUAAGGGAAUCUUUUUAGAGUUUAAUUUUCUUAAUAUAUAAAGUAUAUUAUGUCAGGUCAAGGUGCAAUUUAUGGAUAAGUGGAGAUGGAUUACAAUAAAUUUAUUUAAACGGAGUAAAUUAUUUAUAAUUUUUAUAAAGGUGGAUUUGACAGUAAUUUUGAUUAUUUGUUAUUGUGAUUUUGGCUCUAAAAUAUGCACACAUCGCCCGUCGCUCUCAUUUUUAAAAUGAGAUAAGUCGUAACAUAGUAGGUGUAUCGGAAGAUGUGCCUAGUAAGU